GAUUAAACUUUUCCUGACACAUUGUGGACCUUCUGGUGCAUGGGGGAGUCCUCUGCGAGAGAUCCAUAUGCCAAUCAAGGUAUCUUCCAUCAGAUGGCGAGUGCCCCUUGAGGUACUUCAACUCUGUAUUUUUAUGGCUACAGAAAUAUGAUGUCCAUGGUUACUACCUUGGCUGUCCAUAAUGUACCACUGUGGUAAAGACACUAAAAUUGAAAUGAUAAAAAAAGACUUUCAAACAAUAUGGUCCAAAGUAACAGAAUAUCCUUUGCCUUUUCCAUAUAAGUCAGGGACCAUCAAGCAAAGCAAAGUCUUUGGAUACACUUGAUUCUAGCAACAAGGGGGAAUGAGGAGUGAGAAAUAAGAUGAUACAGAUGUUUGUCAUAACCUAUAGUGGUGAGAGGAGUAGGCCUCUCAUUGAUAGGUUUGGCUGGUCCAAUGUAACAAGGUAUGGUCUCCUCACUUUUAGCUUCUAGCAUGCGAUCCAGCCCUGGGCUGAUACAGAGCAGAUCUCCUGAUGCAAUUUGGGAGUCUACAGAAAAGAGAAUGAUGGCAAUAAAAGCAAUAUUGACAGAUGCAAUUUCUUAUCCAGUGCUCCUUAAGGUACUCCAACUGAGUCCAUUUGGGAGUAGUGAGGUAUGGUGUCAAUAUGAAGUCAAAAAGUCUUGGUGG
RNAcentral lists this long non-coding RNA (669 nucleotides) under Sorghum bicolor (sorghum). RNAcentral describes it as "long non-coding RNA (SBIC_LNC007154)". The record is from RNAcentral. Lineage: Eukaryota; Viridiplantae; Streptophyta; Magnoliopsida; Poales; Poaceae.